CGGGAGUGAGUAAUGUCUGGGAAACUGCCUGAUGGAGGGGGAUAACUACUGGAAACGGUAGCUAAUACCGCAUAACGUCGCAAGACCAAAGAGGGGGACCUUCGGGCCUCUUGCCAUCGGAUGUGCCCAGAUGGGAUUAGCUAGUAGGUGGGGUAACGGCUCACCUAGGCGACGAUCCCUAGCUGGUCUGAGAGGAUGACCAGCCACACUGGAACUGAGACACGGUCCAG
RNAcentral lists this ribosomal RNA (230 nucleotides) under uncultured bacterium. RNAcentral's name for it is "partial 16S ribosomal RNA". It matches the Rfam family "Bacterial small subunit ribosomal RNA", at positions 104 to 334 of the family's 1533-position model. The record is from RNAcentral.